UACUCGAGUGGCGAACGGGUGAGUAACACGUGGGUGAUCUGCCCUGCACUUCGGGAUAAGCUUGGGAAACUGGGUCUAACACCGGAUAGGAGCCAUCUUUAGUGUGGUGGUUGGAAAGUUUUUUCGGUGUAGGAUGAGCUCGCGGCCUAUCAGCUUGUUGGUGGGGUAAUGGCCUACCAAGGCGGCGACGGGUAGCCGGCCUGAGAGGGUGUACGGCCACAUUGGGACUGAGAUACGGCCUAG
This 243-nucleotide ribosomal RNA is filed under the name uncultured Actinomycetales bacterium. RNAcentral's name for it is "partial 16S ribosomal RNA". It matches the Rfam family "Bacterial small subunit ribosomal RNA", at positions 88 to 334 of the family's 1533-position model. Lineage: Bacteria; Bacillati; Actinomycetota; Actinomycetes; Actinomycetales. The record is from RNAcentral.